Molecule: ribosomal RNA, 174 nt
Filed under: Streptomyces sp. T39
Lineage: Bacteria; Bacillati; Actinomycetota; Actinomycetes; Kitasatosporales; Streptomycetaceae
Description: Streptomyces sp. t39 partial 23S ribosomal RNA
Rfam family: Bacterial large subunit ribosomal RNA (bases 22-174)
Source: RNAcentral
ACAGUGGACGCGAGCAUCUGUGGCCAAGUUUUUAAGGGCGCACGGUGGAUGCCUUGGCACCAGGAACCGAUGAAGGACGUGGGAGGCCACGAUAGUCCCCGGGGAGCCGUCAACCAGGCUUUGAUCCGGGGGUUUCCGAAUGGGGAAACCCGGCAGUCGUCAUGGGCUGUCACC